Molecule: ribosomal RNA, 787 nt
Filed under: Marivita byunsanensis
Lineage: Bacteria; Pseudomonadati; Pseudomonadota; Alphaproteobacteria; Rhodobacterales; Roseobacteraceae
Description: bacterial SSU rRNA
Rfam family: Bacterial small subunit ribosomal RNA
Source: RNAcentral
UACCAUGCAAGUCGAGCGAGACCUUCGGGUCUAGCGGCGGACGGGUUAGUAACGCGUGGGAACGUCCCCUUUUCUACGGAAUACCCUCGGGAAACUGAGAGUAAUACCGUAUACCCCCUUUGGGGGAAAGAUUUCUCAGAAAAAGAUCGCCCCGCGUUAUAUUAUAUAUGUGGGGGGGUAGUGCCCUACCAACUCUACUAUCUAUAUCUGGUUUGAGAGGAUGAUCAGCAACUCUGGGACUGACACACGGCCCACACUCCUACGGGAGGCAGCAGUGGGGAAUCUUACACAAUGGGCGCAAGCCUGAUCUACCCAUGCCGCGUGAGUGAUGAAGGCCUUAGGGUCGUAAAGCUCUUUCCCCUGUGAAGAUAAUGACUGUAGCAGGUAAAGAAACCCCGGCUAACUCCGUGCCAGCACCCGCGGUAAUACGGAGGGGGUUAGCGUUGUUCGGAAUUACUGGGCGUAAAGCGCGCGUAGGCGGACUAUUAAGUCAGAGGUGAAAUCCCGGGGCUCAACCCCGGAACUGCCUUUGAUACUGGUAGUCUUGAGUUCGAGAGAGGUGAGUGGAAUUCCGAGUGUAGAGGUGAAAUUCGUAGAUAUUCAGAGGAACACCAGUGGCGAAGGCGGCUCACUGGCUCGAUACUGACGCUGAGGUGCGAAAGUGUGGAGAGCAAACAAGAUUAUAUACCCUGGUAGUCCACACCGUNACGAUGAAUGCCAGACGUCGGGCAGUAUACUGUUCGGUGUCACACCUAACGGAUUAAGCAUUCCGCCUGGAGAGUACGGU